RNAcentral lists this ribosomal RNA (455 nucleotides) under uncultured bacterium. RNAcentral's name for it is "bacterial SSU rRNA". It matches the Rfam family "Bacterial small subunit ribosomal RNA", at positions 131 to 615 of the family's 1533-position model. The record is from RNAcentral.
UUUAGGUGGGGGAUAACAAUUGGAAACGAUUGCUAAUACCCCAUAUGCUUGAGAGUGAAAUAUAUUUAUCUGCCUAAAGAAAAGCUCGCGGCUGAUUAGCUAGUUGGUAAGGUAAUGGCUUACCAAGGCGACGAUCAGUAUCUGGUUUGAGAGGACGAUCAGACACACUGGAACUGAGACACGGUCCAGACUCCUACGGGAGGCAGCAGUGGGGAAUCUUCCGCAAUGGGCGAAAGCCUGACGGAGCAAUACCGCGUGAGGGAAGACUGCCUAUGGGUUGUAAACCUCUUUUUUCAGGGAGGAAUAACUGACGUGUACCUGAAGAAUAAGCAUCGGCUAACUCCGUGCCAGCAGCCGCGGUAAGACGGAGGAUGCAAGUGUUAUCCGGAAUCACUGGGCGUAGAGCGUCUGUAGGUGGUUUAAUAAGUCAACUGUUAAAUCUUGAAGCUCAACUU